CUCUUAGCAGGGGAUAACAUUUGGAAACAGAUGCUAAUACCGUAUAACAAUAGCAACCGCAUGGUUGCUACUUAAAAGAUGGUUCUGCUAUCACUAAGAGAUGGUCCCGCGGUGCAUUAGUUAGUUGGUGAGGUAAUGGCUCACCAAGACGAUGAUGCAUAGCCAAGUUGAGAGACUGAUCGGCCACAAUGGGACUGAGACACGGCCCAUACUCCUACGGGAGGCAGCAGUAGGGAAUCUUCCACAAUGGGCGAAAGCCUGAUGGAGCAACGCCGCGUGUGUGAUGAAGGGUUUCGGCUCGUAAAACACUGUUGUAAGAGAAGAAUGACAUUGAGAGUAACUGUUCAAUGUGUGACGGUAUCUUACCAGAAAGGAACGGCUAAAUACGUGCCAGCAGCCGCGGUAAUACGUAUGUUCCAGCGUUUCCGGAUUUAUUGGG
This 439-nucleotide ribosomal RNA is filed under the name Weissella cibaria. RNAcentral describes it as "bacterial SSU rRNA". It matches the Rfam family "Bacterial small subunit ribosomal RNA", at positions 130 to 558 of the family's 1533-position model. Lineage: Bacteria; Bacillati; Bacillota; Bacilli; Lactobacillales; Lactobacillaceae. The record is from RNAcentral.